AGUUUCUGCCAGGGCUCGAACCUGGGACCUUCCGCGUGUUAGGCGGAUGUGAUAACCACUACACCACAGAAAC
Molecule: transfer RNA, 73 nt
Filed under: Cordylochernes scorpioides
Lineage: Eukaryota; Metazoa; Arthropoda; Arachnida; Pseudoscorpiones; Chernetidae
Description: tRNA-Val
Source: RNAcentral